CACUCCUACGGGAGGCAGCAGUGGGGAAUUUUGGACAAUGGGCGAAAGCCUGAUCCAGCAAUGCCGCGUGAGUGAAGAAGGCCUUCGGGUUGUAACGCUAUUUUGUCAGGGAAGAAACGGUGAAAGCUAAUAUCUUUUGCUAAUGACGGUACCUGAAGAAUAAGCACCGGCUAACUACGUGCCAGCAGCCGCGGUAAUACGUAGGGUGCAAGCGUUAAUCGGAAUUACUGGGCGUAAAGCGUGCGCAGGCGGUUUUGUAAGUCUGAUGUGAAAUCCCCGGGCGCAACCUGGGAAUUGCAUUGGAGACUGCAAGGCUAGAAUCUGGCAGAGGGGGGUAGAAUUCCACGUGUAGCAGUGAAAUGCGUAGAUAUGUGGAGGAACACCGAUGGCGAAGGCAGCCCCCUGGGUCAAGAUUGACGCUCAUGCACGAAAGCGUGGGGAGCAAACAGGAUUAGAAACCCGAGUAGUCCCAUGAU
RNAcentral lists this ribosomal RNA (476 nucleotides) under uncultured organism. RNAcentral describes it as "partial 16S ribosomal RNA". It matches the Rfam family "Bacterial small subunit ribosomal RNA", at positions 334 to 801 of the family's 1533-position model. The record is from RNAcentral.